AACGAACGCUGGCGGCAUGCCUAACAUAUGCAGGUCGAACGAGAACGGAAUAUAGCUUGCUAUAUUUGUCAGCUAAGUGGCGCACGGGUGAGUAAUGUAUAGAUAACCUGCCCUUAAGAAAGGAAUAACAGUUGGAAACGACUGCUAAUGCCCUAUAUGCCUUUAAUACAUAAGUAUGCAAGGGAAACGCUUUAGUGCUUAAGGAUGGGUCUGUAUGGUAUCAGCUUGUUGGUGAGGUAAUGGCUCACCAAGGCUAUGACGCCUAACUGGUUUGAGAGGAUGAUCAGUCACACUGGAACUGAGACACGGUCCAGACUCCUACGGGAGGCAGCAGUGGGGAAUAUUGCACAAUGGACGAAAGUCUGAUGCAGCAACGCCGCGUGGAGGAUGACACAUUUCGGUGCGUAAACUCCUUUUAUAUAGGAAGAUAAUGACGGUACUAUAUGAAUAAGCACCGGCUAACUCCGUGCCAGCCGCCGCCGUAA
This 485-nucleotide ribosomal RNA is filed under the name uncultured bacterium. Its description in RNAcentral is "partial 16S ribosomal RNA". It matches the Rfam family "Bacterial small subunit ribosomal RNA", at positions 29 to 523 of the family's 1533-position model. The record is from RNAcentral.